GACGGAGGAUGCAAGCGUUAUCCGGAAUGAUUGGGCGUAAAGCGUCCGCAGGUGGCAGUUCAAGUCUGCUGUCAAAGACCGGGGCUUAACUUCGGAAAGGCAGUGGAAACUGAACAGCUAGAGUAUGGUAGGGGCAGAGGGAAUUCCUGGUGUAGCGGUGAAAUGCGUAGAUAUCAGGAGGAACACCGGUGGCGAAGGCGCACACCUGGCCCGAUACUGACGCUGAGGCGCGAAAGCUAGGGGAGCAAACGGG
This 253-nucleotide ribosomal RNA is filed under the name uncultured bacterium. RNAcentral describes it as "partial 16S ribosomal RNA". It matches the Rfam family "Bacterial small subunit ribosomal RNA", at positions 524 to 776 of the family's 1533-position model. The record is from RNAcentral.